CAUUCUACUGUUUAUUACACAUAUUACAUUCUUAAAUAAAAAUGCGUCACAUAACAUUUUUGCAUAGAUAUCUUACAAUAUACCAAUUUAAAAAAGAAUUAUGAAACAGACCAGUAACAAAAAUAAAUUUUUUCUUCAUUAAUAAUUUUGUAACAUUAACAUACCACCAUCAUAUAAUACAAAUAAUAGUUUUAAAUCUUAAGACUUUUGUACAGCAAAAAAACUUGACAAAGUAAUAUAUUUAUAUAUAUAUAUAAAAAGCUUAAAAAAAAUAAAAUGUCAAAAAAAGGCAUAACCGAGGGCUAUAAGACUGGGUACUUCUGUGAUAUAUUAUAAAUACCAGAGAAGGCCUGAGAGAAUGUGACAGGGAGGUGGGGGGAGGGGAGGCUCCAAAAACAUUAAACAUUUAGUUUGCCUUUGUGUUAGCAAGGAGAUCUUGGCCCUAACAGGUGUAUUUUUCCUCCCUGGGAUGAAGCAGAAGUGAGAUGGAAGAAAUCAAAUUGUCUGAGCUUGAGUGAGCAAAUGCAUGCUGGGAAGCAAAAAGGAAAAAAAAAAGGCUAAUGAGCCCCCAAAUCUUUAGGACCUCGGUUUACAGAAAUUAUUCUGCCUCUGGUCCCAAGGGCUAGGAUUGAAAUGUCCCCUAUCCCCACCCACUGCCCCUCCCCUGUAUGUGGAACUAACUCCCAGUGGUGUGGUUUUUAUAUACUGGCAUUAUAAGCAUCCAUCCCCCCGAAAGAGAUUAGGCACUGGUGGCUACCCCUCUUAUACCUCAGUAGCCUGUUUUCCUUCUGCGAAGGUACAGUAGGUAUGUAUGCACACCCAUGCAGGUGUGUGCACACACACCACCCUCAUUAUUCUGACGUGGGGUCCUUUGUAUGGCAGUAGACAGAAGCUGGGGUCAAAGCAAUUAUGAUUCCAAAACUCACAGUUGAAAAAAAUCGUAUAAACCGUCCCCAACCAAGAACACAUCAACCUUCCCUCAUGACCACAGAGAGGGAGCCCUGUUUGAAAAAAAGAGUAUCUUGUUUGGGAUAUUUGCUAAGUGACGGCUUUGAUCUUACUCCCGUUGUGGAUACCUGUUUCCCGAGGACUUACUGGAAAAUGCAGAACACCUGAAGAAUACAGUACUAUAUUGAAAGAUGCUCAUAAGAAAGUUAAUUGCAGCUUAGCCAUCCCCUUUCUGGGAUCUGUUAGAGGAACCAAGAGAGGAGAUUUAAGUGUUAAAAACAAGAAACCCUGAAGCUCAGGCAUUCGUCAUGAGACACCACAUUUCAUAGGAGCGGAUUUUGCUUCCUUUGACAUAUUCCUGUUGUCCAUCUCAAGUACUUCCAAAGAUCCUCAAAGAGAAACACAUGCCAUCAGGAAGGCAGCAAUGGACACUCAGGCUGGGCCCUCCGGUUCCAAAUUAAGCAUCACCAUGUUUCCCGAAAUGCAACCCAGACACUCAGAACCAGGUAUCCUCCUGCCCCAACUUCUGCCACUUCUAAAAUAAAAUUGAGGGAAAGUUUUCAUGAAUUUAUUUCAGCCAAGUCUUUCUUAAGUUCCACUUGGGCAAUAUUCUAGGUGCAAGAUUUCAGCCAGAUGUGAGGUCUUUUGUUUGUUUGUUUAAAGGGAGAGAAGGCAGACAGAUUUCUGGAGUCAAAUGGGUUGUUCAUGCUCUCUUCCUCUUUCCUUCUGAAGUAACACACGCAGAAGAGGAGAUAGAAGUAGUCCCCACUUUUACAUUAUGAAGUGAUUCCCACAGAGGAAAUCACUCAGAACCGUGAAAAAUAAUCACACUGAGGUUUGCAUUGGCAAACCAUUUCUUUGGGCUUUCCCAUGGGAUGCAGGAGUGGAGGCUGCAGGCAGGACAGUUCUGAAUGCUUGAGUUAGCCAACCCUCCCCCUCCCCCAUUUGUUUUCCCUUGGAUGCAAAUAGACACAGAUCAUUUGGAAGCAUAUCCCAAAUUCAAGUCCCUAAAUACACUCUUCUCUAAUUUCAAAGAGGAUUUAAAAAUAAAAAAUAAAUUAAAAAAAAAUUCCUAGGAAUCCAUCCUGCUCAUCAGACAUGAGGUUGGCUCUCUUUUUACCCUGUUAUCAUCAGGCGAUCAAAGAUGGAAAAGGGUAGAGGUGUGCGUGGGGAGGUGGUGGCAGGGAGAGUGGGGAGUGGUUGAAGGGCUUUGGGAAGGAAACUGGGACAGGGAAAUGGCCAGCAUGAAGGUCAUUGGGGGGGGGGGGUCUCCAAUAUUUUUACAAAAAUGCAGCUUUAACUUGGAAUCCAAACAUCUCUUUCUUUCUGGACAAAGUACUCAUCCGAAUAGGCAUGAGGUUGGGCCAGUAAGCUGACAGUGGGACAGGAGGCCAGGAGCAAAGAGCAGCAUUACAAUGUCGGUCCCCACAUCCCUGAAGGUCACGUGGAGGAGAAAGAGAAGUAACUUGAAGUAAAGAAAAUCACCAGUGGCUUAGAACCAUGUCUUCUACAUAGCCAACUCUGGGCCCUGGAUAGAACGCUCAAGAGGACAGCCUAUGCCACAUUUAUGCCAGGCUCGCCCUUUCAAAUCUGGGAUCCCCUUGGAAUGCUAGGAGGUAAUGUCUUAAAUUGUGAAAGGGAUUUCAUGUUUCAAAUAUCCAUGACACCAUUCUAGAUACCCAGUCCUCCUGGGAGCAAAGGACACGUUGAGGUUAUUUCUUGAUAAACCUGCUCCCUCCAGAGGCGUCAAGCAACCUCCUCUGCAGUUGAGGAAGAAUGGAGGAGGACGUGUCAUCAACCUAUUUCUAAAAUGUCCAAGGGAUGCCCGCCCCAAGCUAAGGACUGGCAGUCUUCCACAGGUCUUCACUGGGGCUAGAGAAGAACAGAUUCAAAGCCAUGCGCUUAGCACCCACCAAAUUCUCAGGCCAAUUCCCACAGCCAACAAAGGACUCUGAAGCAAGCAAGCACCAUCAUGGUAUCUCAGUGCGCCCUGCUCCAAGAGAGGUCAGGAGCAGAUCACAAAGACCUCACUGAUACAAAAGAGAAAUUACCAAACAUUUCAGACACCAAAGAGGACCAAGGGGCCUUUGUUCUGCCACAUUCAAAUGAAACCACAGAUGGCGAGAGGGACAAACAGCAAUGAUUACUCUUUUGCAUUUCUUUUUUUCUUUUCUUUUUUUUUCUUUUUCUUUUUUUUAUAGAGCCUUGCAUUGGUCAGUACAAAAAAAAUUAAAUUAAGUACUAUAAA
RNAcentral lists this long non-coding RNA (3196 nucleotides) under Mus caroli (Ryukyu mouse). RNAcentral describes it as "lncRNA (MGP_CAROLIEiJ_G0004395.1)". Lineage: Eukaryota; Metazoa; Chordata; Mammalia; Rodentia; Muridae. The record is from RNAcentral.